UCUUGAGUAUGGUUGAGGCAGGCGGAAUGUGUGGUGUAGCGGUGAAAUGCUUAGAUAUCACACAGAACACCGAUUGCGAAGGCAGCUUGCUAAGCUAUAACUGACGCUGAGGCACGAAAGCGUGGGUAUCAAACAGGAUUAGAUACCCUGGUAGUCCACGCUGUAAACGAUGAUAACUCGUUGUUUGCGAUACACAGCCGGUGACCAAGCGAAAGCGUUAAGUAAUCCACCUGGGGAGUACGCCGGCAACGGUGAAACUCAAAGGAAUUGACGGGGGCCCGCACAAGCGGAGGAACAUGUGGUUUAAUUCGAUGAUACGCGAGGAACCUUACCCGGGAUUGAAA
Molecule: ribosomal RNA, 344 nt
Filed under: uncultured Bacteroidales bacterium
Lineage: Bacteria; Pseudomonadati; Bacteroidota; Bacteroidia; Bacteroidales
Description: bacterial SSU rRNA
Rfam family: Bacterial small subunit ribosomal RNA
Source: RNAcentral